RNAcentral lists this ribosomal RNA (505 nucleotides) under uncultured bacterium. RNAcentral describes it as "partial 16S ribosomal RNA". It matches the Rfam family "Bacterial small subunit ribosomal RNA", at positions 28 to 507 of the family's 1533-position model. The record is from RNAcentral.
GACGAACGCUGGCGGCGUGCCUAAUACAUGCAAGUAGAACGCACAGUUUAUACCGUAGCUUGCUACACCAUAAACUGUGAGUUGCGAACGGGUGAGUAACGCGUAGGUAACCUGCCUGGUAGCGGGGGAUAACUAUUGGAAACGAUAGCUAAUACCGCAUAAUAUUAAUUAUUGCAUGAUAAUUGAUUGAAAGAUGCAAUUGCAUCACUACCAGAUGGACCUGCGUUGUAUUAGCUAGUAGGUGAGGUAACGGCUCACCUAGGCGACGAUACAUAGCCGACCUGAGAGGGUGAUCGGCCACACUGGGACUGAGACACGGCCCAGACUCCUACGGGAGGCAGCAGUAGGGAAUCUUCGGCAAUGGACGAAAGGCUGACCGAGCAACGCCGCGUGAGUGAAGAAGGUUUUCGGAUCGUAAAGCUCUGUUGUAAGAGAAGAACGGGUGUGAGAGUGGAAAGUUCACACUGUGACGGUAUCUUACCAGAAAGGGACGGCUAACUACGUG